Molecule: ribosomal RNA, 409 nt
Filed under: uncultured Aeromonas sp.
Lineage: Bacteria; Pseudomonadati; Pseudomonadota; Gammaproteobacteria; Aeromonadales; Aeromonadaceae
Description: bacterial SSU rRNA
Rfam family: Bacterial small subunit ribosomal RNA
Source: RNAcentral
GUUGGCGCCUAAUACGUGUCAACUGUGACGUUACUCGCAGAAGAAGCACCGGCUAACUCCGUGCCAGCAGCCGCGGUAAUACGGAGGGCGCAAGCGUUAAUCGGAAUUACUGGGCGUAAAGCGCACGCAGGCGGUUGGAUAAGUUAGAUGUGAAAGCCCCGGGCUCAACCUGGGAAUUGCAUUUAAAACUGUCCAGCUAGAGUCUUGUAGAGGGGGGUAGAAUUCCAGGUGUAGCGGUGAAAUGCGUAGAGAUCUGGAGGAAUACCGGUGGCGAAGGCGGCCCCCUGGACAAAGACUGACGCUCAGGUGCGAAAGCGUGGGGAGCAAACAGGAUUAGAUACCCUGGUAGUCCACGCCGUAGACGAUGUCGAUUUGGAGGCUGUGUCCUUGAGACGUGGCUUCCGGAGCU